CCUACGGGGGGCAGCAGUCGAGAAUCAUUCACAAUGGGGGAAACCCUGAUGGUGCGACGCCGCGUGGGGGAAUGAAGGUCUUCGGAUUGUAAACCCCUGUCAUGUGGGAGCAAAUUAAAAAGAUAGUACCACAAGAGGAAGAGACGGCUAACUUUGUGCCAGCAGCCGCGGGAAUACAGCGGUCUCAAGCGUUGUUCGGAGUGACUGGGCGUAAAGCGUGCGUAGGCUGUUUCGUAAGUCGUGUGUGAAAGGCGCGGGCUCAACCCGCGGACGGCACAUGAUACUGAGAGACUAGAGUAAUGGAGGGGGAACCGGAAUUCUCGGUGUAGCAGUGAAAUGCGUAGAUAUCGAGAGGAACACUCGUGGCGAAGGCGGGUUCCUGGACAUUAACUGACGCUGAGGCACGAAGGCCAGGGGAGCGAAAGGGAUUAGAUACCCGAGUAGUC
This 446-nucleotide ribosomal RNA is filed under the name uncultured bacterium. RNAcentral describes it as "partial 16S ribosomal RNA". It matches the Rfam family "Bacterial small subunit ribosomal RNA", at positions 338 to 795 of the family's 1533-position model. The record is from RNAcentral.